This 6078-nucleotide unclassified non-coding RNA is filed under the name Pomacea canaliculata. RNAcentral's name for it is "uncharacterized LOC112568584, transcript variant X2". The record is from RNAcentral. Lineage: Eukaryota; Metazoa; Mollusca; Gastropoda; Architaenioglossa; Ampullariidae.
AUUGUUUCUCACUCGAGAGUUUUCCUCAGAAGCAGAGCAAGGAGCCUGGAGGAAGUCCUGGCAAAAUGGCGAGUGGACUUGUAACAGCUGUCGGGAUCUUUCUCAUUACAUGUCACAAGAUAUUCGUUAUUGGGCAAGAAUGAUACAGUCAACACAUCACUGGUGGCAUUCAACGAAUCAUCUUUAAUGAUUAAUGUAGGCUACCUGCAGGUCACUGUCCCACGCCAGCGAUAUUCUCCUUCUGUUAUCUUCGACCAUUGCGUAUACAACAUCGCCGUUCGUCCUGGUGCAAAGGUCGCACUCUCUGAGGGGAUUAAGGACAGUAAAGACAAUACAUUAAAAUCACUGGAAAACAAUAACACGAUGACACCAAACACAUACUAUUCCCAUAGUUCAAACCAUCGCAGAUAUUUAUAUCCGUAUAGUUGACUUUAUUGGUGUUUCUGCCUUACAACUCACUCUUACUCGAUGUUUGUACUCGUCCUGUUGACCAGUGGGUAUAUAAAUAGUGUAGUCAUACCAGUGAUAAAGAAAUCAACUUCAAAUAAAAUAAUUUUAAACAGCAACACUAAGAGAAAGAAAAAGUAGCUCAAUAUAACAUUUUCAAAAUAUAAAGCUGCAUUCUGAAAAGUUUUUGUCAGUUUCAGUGUGACUAUAAGUAAUAAAUUCUACAUGCACAUAAAAUAAAACUAAAAUCAUGCAUAACAUGCUUUGGAAGCUUAUGAACUCAGUCAGCUAAAGUUACCUACAAAAAAACCGACAGAAAUAUUUAUCUGCUUGUAAUACACGUGUGUCUGCUAGUGUGUAUUAAGUAGCUGAUACAAUAGACAGACUUACGAUGCUUCCCGUUCAAGGAAAAUGUCACUAAAUCGUCUCUUUAAACUUGGGCUAAUAAAUCUACGGCAUUAAUCACUUAUUUUAUGUUGGAAGGAAAAUCCGUUUGUCAAAAGCUUCCUGACGCUACUAGGCGUGAGCACUGUACAACGGUAGGACUUGAACAUCUUCUACCUUUGACCUUUUCCUUUACAAUUGAAAAUGUCAAGCAGGUGAACAAAGCACAAAGGUAGUACACUAAAACAGUAUUGUGGUUUCCAUCCAUUAUUUACGUAUCAAAAAUACACACACACAGAGCUAUGUAUGCAAUUUAUUACACAUGUGCGUGGGCUUUUUUUUUCCACCGGUAGAUUUCCAAUGAAAUGUGAAGAACUAAUCGUCCUCUGUAAGAGUUGUCUUUUGUAAACAAGACCCUGUGCAGUAUUAUAAAAAAUUCAAGUCCGCCAGUCCCAGUUAAAGGGACGACGACGACAAUGACGACGAUGAUGAUUGUAACGGAUACGUUUUUAGUAGAGGGAGUAAGGCGGGAAGGUCGACAACCGUGGUUGAUCUGAUCUAGGGUAGUGGGCUGGAUGUUGUUGCCCUUGAGCAAAUGACGUAAGUUGUGAUGUCAAAACAACGUGACGGCAAAAAGGUGACGAAAAAGAUAGAGGAAAAUAACGUUAGGAAAAAACGGUAGGCGGAGAGUAAACGGCGGAACAGAAGUUGGAAUUGGUGGUUUUUCUCUGCACUUUCUCGCUACUGCUGCGACCGCGGAAUAAGUGUUACCGGGGAAGUAAUACUGUGUUUAUACUACAGGUGGAUAUACUUCACAGAUCGUGAUUUACUGUAGUCCGUGUCCGCGCCGUGGGGAGCUCUGUGGCUUGGGCAUCCCGCAGUACAGUUUCUUGGUGGGGCCAAGAAACCACACACUGGUGUGAGUGAGAAAACGAUGAACCAGGGCAGAAAACUUGGUGUGAGCAAGGGGAGGGAGGUUACACCGCAUCUCUCUACGCUUGCGCACCAACCACCAUCCGUCGCCCGGAAAGGACAGUUCCAAACAGACUGAGUUUAAACCGCCGGUGGAGGGAAGGUUUCCUCUCGGCCUUCAGUUAACCUAUCCUCAUCCUGCUAAACACCCAGGAGGCAACAGCAGGUGCAAGUCCGUGACGUUCUGCUUGUAAACUGUCGGUAUCGUAAAACACUUUUUAAAAAAAUGAUAAAUCGACUUAUAGGAAAGAAGAUUAGUGUUACCCAUAACAAUAGAGGACUUGGGAGGGUUGAAAUGACUUUAAAAUAUAAAAAGGUUUGGGUUUCGUCAAGAACGUACAUUUUAUACUAUAAUUCAGUGGAUAUUAACAUUGGUAAGUCAUCAAGAGAGGACAGCAGCGGCGACAGCGGAAUACCUUAUCAGUAUUUAUGUGAAUCAACUUUAUUUUUAACUCUAAUAGUGCGUUGGAUGAAUGAUAAAAUAUAUUGGUAAUAUAUCUUGUGUGGCGAAAGAAGGAGUGGAUUUCUGAUUGUUGAUACUUUGUCCUUUUUCAUUUAAAAUUGUGUUUGAAUUCAAUAAUUAUUGGUGCCUCUAAGGAGGGACGCCCACCCUCAAGCAAUCUGAUUAUAUUGGUUUAUGGAGAGAAUGCGCGUGUCUGCGGACGGUCCGUGACAUAGUGUAUGUAUGAAACAAAUGAUGAUGAUGAUGAUGAUAAAGGCAACAUGGGCGAAUUACGUAACAUUACUUAAUGACAUCAAAACCCAAAAAAGUGUUUCUCUAUUUCUCAUGUUUCACGCCCCUGUUGCAAAACAGCUAUUGGCGUUUCAUUUCGUGUAGACAAGUGCUUACAUCCGACUUAAACAAGAUGAUAUCAAAUAUAAGGGAAGUGUAAAUAGGAUUUCUGCAGGGUGGGUCCACAAAUUCAAGUACUGAGUCGCUUGUGGUCGUGCAUGUGUGGGGUCCAAUGUCACUAUCUCUCAGAAACAUUGUCCACGCCAUCCACGUAUCACAACUACAAAGACUGCCAGACACACUAUCAGUUUCAUGUUUUGUGCCAGUCUUCCUUCCGUGAGCUCACAACCGGCUUACCAUGAGAUGUCUUCCGGCGAAUGAGCCUUGGACAGCAGCAGCAACAACAACAACCAAAAAAAGGCCUGAGUGAUACAAGAGAGUGUUUACUCGAGAGCUAAACGAGCCUUUGCUUACUUGCAAGAUGGCGCAUCCACUUGCUACAGCGGUGACACCUCUCCUGAUCUGUCUCAUCAUGUGUCACAGGAUGUUGGCUAUUAGCAUAUCGCCCAACAAUGAAGUUGAGGAGCUGUCUGGGAACCAGGUGAUGGUGUCAUGUAACCAGUUAUCUAAAUACUCCGUAAUCGUGUGGUCCAUCAUACCUUUACAUGGACAAGAGAAACCGGUGGGAAUGUGCGAUGGAGAGAGAUGCAUAUCAUCACAUGGUCAGAAAAUAGAUGUGCAACGACCUAACUAUUCGAGUUCUAGGCUUGUCUCUGUGAAUGUCACCCGGGAGUGGGCGGGUACAGUGGUGUGUACAGAACGUUUCACCAGCAGAAGUGAACACUCUGUGAACAGUACACUGGACGUUUACUACAAUUCUGGAAUCACCGACGUCAGUAUGGUGGUAAACCGCGAGGACUGGACUCUAAUUACCAGUUUUAAGGUCGCAAAAAUCUUCUCCGCUCUUGGUAACUAUGGAGCCAAGCUCAACUGUACCUCCUUGAAUUCUACAGUCAACAUGUCACUGGUGCCAUACAAUGAAUCAUCGUUGGUGUACAACGUGGGCUACUUCCAGCUCACUUCCUUCAAGUCACAGUUUGACAGUCAUGUUAACCUCACAUGUUUAUCCACAGUGGUAGUAUACCCUGGUGCCAGACUUGAAAGACUUAACGAAAGGGGAGGGGUGAAAGAGUCAUCCACGCCACAAAUAGUUUGUGACCUUACCUACAUUCCCGAGGACGGUCCCUUCCAAUGCAGCUGUGACACUGAGAGUCUAGGGAGCCCGGAGGGCAGACUGACCUGGCGUCUAGGAGAACAAGUUCUAACUUCCGGUGACUACGGAGUCAAACGGCUUCCGCUUUCGUCCGACAUCAUUAACCGCAGCCACCAGGGGGAAAAACUCGUGUGUGAAGUGGAAUGGCUUUACGAUAAACGUUCAGAGAUAAAUAUAAUGGUGGCGUAUGGACCGGAUGACGUGGUCAUCAAGCCCUACAUUAUUCUUUUUCGAAAAGACAAUAGCGACGAGACAUUCCUUGCUUCCUAUCCGGCGACCAGAGGCCAUGUCUACUUACCUCCAGAUGUCACAUCCGAGGUAACCCUGGUAUGCGAGGCAAGGAAUGUCCAGCCCUUGAAGUCAGAAAUGGUCACGUGGGGCGGCCUGUGCUACGGUCAGCGAGGUUUUAAUUGUAAACUGACCUUUAAAGGUAAAAAGGAUGACGGGAAGGAGGUCACGUGCUCGUUCAUCAACAACGUCAACAACAACCGCAAAGCCAACACCAGCAUCAUCAUCAACGUUUCAGAUGGACCAGACAAGGUCCUAAUAAACAUCCAGUACCACACUAUUUCUACACCUGGCAAGUGCCACGUGAUCCUUACCUGUGAGGCGCCUGGGGUCAAGCCCUCGACCUAUGACAUGUUUACGUGGGGUGGGAUGUGUGAAGACCAGCAGGGCUCCAGGUGUGUCAUCAUAGCCGAUGAAAAAGAGGAUGACGGGAAAGAAGUGACGUGCACUGUUACCAAUCAUGUCAACCACAGACGUACUGCCAGCGCCAUUGUCACAUUGAUGUUGUCAGGUGAGGUCAGGAGCCGUAUGCAAGAAACUCCGUUAGACAAUCGUUGCGAUAGAGCCUUUCGGUCUGAAAGCUAUCGCAGCGAUAGUCCUCCCACUAACGUGGUAUGCACACUCCGAUAGAGCUUCACUAGCUUUCAGCGCGGUAAGGCAGUUCUAUAAAUAACUUCUGGAGAUUUCCAAUUUUCAUGCGUUACUGCGCAUGUAUUUGCUUUGAAAGUAAAGUUUACUUUUUUUCCCGGAUGAUGUCUUAGUUGCAGAAAAAUGGGAAACGAAACAUAUACGAAAAGCCAAUUUCAGUGACAUGGAAAUAAAAAUUUUGUUAGAGGAGAUAUCCAUGGAAAACGAAAUUCUUUCCAGCUGCUUCUCCAACAUAAGAACGAUACAAAAAAACAACAACAAAAAAACCACAAAAACAAAAACAAACAAAAGAAACAACAACAAAAAAAAACCCAUUGCGGCCAAGGUGUCGGCAUGCGGGGUGGCUGUUCAGACGGUACCAGAAAUAAAAGACAAAUGGAUCUACUAACAUCGACAACGCUUCAAAAAGUAAAAAGCGAUGCAAAUAAAACAGGUGGAGACAAGGGAAUGCCCCCCUCUGAAUAUGAAGAGUCUGUUGCUGCAAUCCUUGGCAAUAACACCUACUCUGAUCAGUGGUAUUGGAGUGAAUGGUACAAAUGCACAAGAGGUAAGCAGGCUGAAUGAAUUCAUGUUUCAUGAUGGCUCUAUUGUGAAGUUUGUAUGCAGAAUGCUGUGUUCUGAAGUUUGUGUGCAACAUGCUGCCAUCUCAACAAGUAAUACACAAUAUCUUAACAUUUACAUAGUGAAAUUUAUUUUACACUCAAACAGUCACAAUCACAUUUUAAAACAAAAGCAAAAUGAAAAGUGAAUAAGUGCAUCCACACACAAAUAUAUAUAUACAUCUAAAUGAUAUUUUCAGUCAAUUUUUGCAGGAUUGAUAAUUUUCUUCCACUUUACACUAAAUCAAUUUGUGGAUAGCAUCUUUUUUCUUUAGAAGGAUAUUGAUGUAUAUGCAGAAAUCUAAUUGCCACUCUUGCAGCCAUCAUUUACUACAUAUUGCUCUGCCACAGAAUAUUCAAGUCCCUCCAAAUCGUUGGCAAUCUUCUACCCGCCAACACCACCCUGGACAACCGGAAAACCUUUAGAAUGAAAAAAAGAAAAACAGCCAGCAAAGGAGAUACAGAGCAACAACCCAUGAUAGAACAUUUAAAAGACCAAAAAGUGGCCUAUAAUAAGCCAAAUGGAACCAGAAAUUGAAAUCUCGAACUAGAAGUCUGGGUGCUAAAAGCUAAAAUAAGCAAGCUAGACAAAGAGAUAAAUGAUAGUUAAAACUUGCAGUACUGCCAGGGUAUGCAUUUUUGUAUAUUAGAGUAGAUCUGCAUACAGUUAAAAAAUGUGGGUUACAGUACAAGACCUCAACACACACACAAACUCACACACCUGUAACACAUAU